Long non-coding RNA from Ictalurus punctatus (channel catfish), 1046 nucleotides. The record is from Ensembl. Lineage: Eukaryota; Metazoa; Chordata; Actinopteri; Siluriformes; Ictaluridae.
AUUGCAACAUUUUCAGAAAAUGCAAAUAGUCUCAUGCUCUGCUUGACGUUUUUAUCGGGGGAAGCGCAAGCGCAUCCACAGUGCUGACACAUUCAGUUUUACAGGAACUACAAGCGCCCACUUCAGACUCUCAUCUGUGUUCUUUUUAUUACAAAAAAAAAUUAUACAGAAUCCCAAAUAUCGAUGCUUUAGAUUUGAAAGCUUCCAGUUCACAGUAUAUCAAACCAAAGCUGCAUACCUAUUGAUAUUGUUUAUACUGUAAUACGGUACAAAUGAACACAUUUUUGAUAGAAAAGAAGUGUUUACUGUGUAGCAUGCAUUAUAAAGUCAGACUAUUAGCAGAUCAGGACACAUUCAGCUGCACUAGAGUCGAGGUCUAAAGACAGGAUCCUGGAAGACAGCACUGUAUAACAACCUAGGCACACUGUAGAUAAGCCAUGUACAGGAGAAACACACAUGAAUUUCAUCUCAUGAAUUCUCUAACAAUGUUUCUACAUUACGAAAGAGGCACAGGAUUUCAUGUGCAUUCAUUUUCUUCAGCUACAUAAUGGAAUUGUGGGCAUUUUGUUUGUAAUUGGAAGAGGAUAGCUUGUUGGUCAGUUAAGUAAGGGCAAUUUGUUCUGUGUGAAAGGGUUUAGUGAUGAAUUACUUGAAGUAAAUGUAUUCAAUUAAACAAGACAUUAAGUUACUUUUACCACCAUGAAGUUGAUUAUAUUCUGUUUAUGGAGUGUUUCAUUUCUCUUAUACCUCAACAAUUUAACAACACUGAAUUUUUUUUAAAAAAAACAGUUAGCUCCUGUUAUGACUUAUGUUAUAGCUUAUGUUUAUCACUUGUGUUUAAUCUGUUGUCACUUAUGUUUAAUCUGUAUCCUGUGCUAAUAUGUUUCUGUAAAGCUGCUUUGAGACAAUGUCCAUUGUUAAAAGCGCUAUACAAAUAAAAUUGAAUAGCAGCUAUAAACAACCAUUCCCUUUUUUUCUCCCUGUUGAAGUUAAUCAGCUUCUCAUGUUACAAAGAAACAACACCAUCUAUGAACACUUAAAGCUAC